RNAcentral lists this ribosomal RNA (505 nucleotides) under uncultured bacterium. RNAcentral's name for it is "partial 16S ribosomal RNA". It matches the Rfam family "Bacterial small subunit ribosomal RNA", at positions 28 to 507 of the family's 1533-position model. The record is from RNAcentral.
GACGAACGCUGGCGGCGUGCCUAAUACAUGCAAGUAGAACGCACAGUUUAUACCGUAGCUUGCUACACCAUAGACUGUGAGUUGCGAACGGGUGAGUAACGCGUAGGUAACCUGCCUGGUAGCGGGGGAUAACUAUUGGAAACGAUAGCUAAUACCGCAUAAUAUUAAUUAUUGCAUGAUAAUUAAUUGAAAGGUGCAAUUGCACCACUACCAGAUGGACCUGCGUUGUAUUAGCUAGUAGGUGAGGUAACGGCUCACCUAGGCGACGAUACAUAGCCGACCGGAGAGGGUGAUCGGCCACACUGGGACUGAGACACGGCCCAGACUCCUACAGGAGGCAGCAGUAGGGAAUCGUCAGCAAUGGACGAAAGUCUGACCGAGCAACGCCGCGUGAGUGAAGAAGGUUUUCGGAUCGUAAAGCUCUGUUGUAAGAGAAGAACGGGUGUGAGAGUGGAAAGUUCACACUGUGACGGUAUCUUACCAGAAAGGGACGGCUAACUACGUG